RNAcentral lists this non-coding RNA (96 nucleotides) under Liquorilactobacillus oeni. RNAcentral describes it as "Lactobacillus oeni THF-I sequence". It matches the Rfam family "THF (Tetrahydrofolate) riboswitch aptamer". From Rfam's summary of the family: THF riboswitch presents a pseudoknot that joins P1-P2 and the loop of P3 and two THF binding. The record is from RNAcentral. Lineage: Bacteria; Bacillati; Bacillota; Bacilli; Lactobacillales; Lactobacillaceae. RNAcentral also lists the same sequence under 1 other name.
UUCGGGGUAGGAAAUAAGGCGUUAAGUGCUGGAAGGACGGAAUGUGUCUUCCAGACGAAAGAUAAAACCUGCGAUCUUAUUUCCGCAUUCGCCGCA